UGCGGUAGUUCAGUAGGUUAGAAUGCCGGCCUGUCACGCCGGAGGUCGCGAGUUCGAGUCUCGUCCGCAC
RNAcentral lists this transfer RNA (70 nucleotides) under pig gut metagenome. It matches the Rfam family "tRNA". Rfam says of the family: Transfer RNA (tRNA) molecules are approximately 80 nucleotides in length. Their secondary structure includes four short double-helical elements and three loops (D, anti-codon, and T loops). The record is from RNAcentral.